GUCUAUAGCCAUGCCACCCUGAACAUGCCUGAUCGCGUCAGAUCUCAGAAGCUAAGCAGGGUUGGUUUAGUACUUGGAUGGGAGACCACCUAGGAAUACCAGGUACUGUAGGCG
Molecule: ribosomal RNA, 114 nt
Filed under: Pteropus alecto (black flying fox)
Lineage: Eukaryota; Metazoa; Chordata; Mammalia; Chiroptera; Pteropodidae
Also listed under: 1 other name
Source: RNAcentral